Long non-coding RNA from Salvia splendens (bonfire salvia), 395 nucleotides. RefSeq lists it as uncharacterized. The transcript has 4 exons. Lineage: Eukaryota; Viridiplantae; Streptophyta; Magnoliopsida; Lamiales; Lamiaceae. The record is from RefSeq and is a predicted model, not a curated record.
GCCAAGUUGUGUGUAGACAAAAACAUACCUGUCAUUCCUGUCCCAGGUCCAUCUGCUGUGGUAGCAGCUCUUUCUGCGUCUGGUUUGCCAACUAACGAGUUCACAUUAGUCGGAUAUCUCCCUAAACAUGCCACUACAAGAAGAGAGAGGCUCAUGGUUUCUGCCAAUAGUGCAACCACACAGGUGUUUUUGUCCCUCCUCAUAAGCUCUGUCAGUUCCUAGAGGAGUCGUCUUCGAUCUUUGGAAACUCAAGGCGUUGUGUUAUUGCUCGAGAGAUGACCAAACUACAUGAAGAAGAUUGGAGAAACCCUAGUUCUGGAGGGGUACUCUUGGGGAAGCGAAUGAAGCAUUCUCAACCCAUCAACCAAAGGGUGAAAUAACACUGAUGAUAGAAG